GGGAAAGUAGUCUAGAUUGGUAUGAUUCUGGGUUCGGAAUCCAGAGGUCGGGGGUUCAAAUCCCCCCUUUCCCA
Molecule: transfer RNA, 74 nt
Filed under: Promethearchaeota archaeon
Lineage: Archaea; Promethearchaeati; Promethearchaeota
Description: Candidatus Lokiarchaeota archaeon (permafrost metagenome) tRNA-Pro
Rfam family: tRNA
About the family: Transfer RNA (tRNA) molecules are approximately 80 nucleotides in length. Their secondary structure includes four short double-helical elements and three loops (D, anti-codon, and T loops).
Source: RNAcentral